RNAcentral lists this ribosomal RNA (643 nucleotides) under Klebsiella pneumoniae. RNAcentral's name for it is "partial 23S ribosomal RNA". It matches the Rfam family "Bacterial large subunit ribosomal RNA", at positions 997 to 1642 of the family's 2925-position model. The record is from RNAcentral. Lineage: Bacteria; Pseudomonadati; Pseudomonadota; Gammaproteobacteria; Enterobacterales; Enterobacteriaceae.
GCUAACGUCCGUCGUGAAGAGGGAAACAACCCAGACCGCCAGCUAAGGUCCCAAAGUCAUGGUUAAGUGGGAAACGAUGUGGGAAGGCACAGACAGCCAGGAUGUUGGCUUAGAAGCAGCCAUCAUUUAAAGAAAGCGUAAUAGCUCACUGGUCGAGUCGGCCUGCGCGGAAGAUGUAACGGGGCUAAACCAUGCACCGAAGCUGCGGCAGCGACACUAUGUGUUGUUGGGGAGGGGAGCGUUCUGUAAGCCUGCGAAGGUGUGCUGUGAGGCAUGCUGGAGGGAUCAGAAGUGCGAAUGCUGACAUAAGUAACGAUAAAGCGGGUGAAAAGCCCGCUCGCCGGAAGACCAAGGGUUCCUGUCCAACGUUAAUCGGGGCAGGGUGAGUCGACCCCUAAGGCGAGGCCGAAAGGCGUAGUCGAUGGGAAACAGGUUAAUAUUCCUGUACUUGGUGUUACUGCGAAGGGGGGACGGAGAAGGCUAUGUUAGCCGGGCGACGGUUGUCCCGGUUUAAGCAUGUAGGCUGGUUAUCCAGGCAAAUCCGGAUAAUCAAGGCUGAGGUGUGAUGACGAGGCACUACGGUGCUGAAGUAACAAAUGCCCUGCUUCCAGGAAAAGCCUCUAAGCAUCAGGUAACAUUAAAU